RNAcentral lists this unclassified non-coding RNA (261 nucleotides) under Hevea brasiliensis (rubber tree). The record is from RNAcentral. Lineage: Eukaryota; Viridiplantae; Streptophyta; Magnoliopsida; Malpighiales; Euphorbiaceae.
GCCACAUCUUCUUCUAGAAACCAAAUGACUCCCCAGGAGAACUUGCAUUAAAAUCAUCCAUAAGCCAUCUAUAUGCACUCUUAAUAGUGAAAAUUCCCUUACGGUAGUGAAUCCUGAAUCUGACAUCAUCCCUCCUUGUUUGCAAUAAAGGAAUUUGACCAAUUAGAGCAACAUUUCUAUCAUUAAAAAGGUUCCUUAUAAUUUCCAUAUUCCAUGAUAACCCAUCAUCCGUCAUCAACUGACAAACCAACUGAUAAUGAG